This 318-nucleotide unclassified non-coding RNA is filed under the name Hevea brasiliensis (rubber tree). Lineage: Eukaryota; Viridiplantae; Streptophyta; Magnoliopsida; Malpighiales; Euphorbiaceae. The record is from RNAcentral.
CAUACAAGGUAAUUAAUUUAAGGAAAUAAACUGAUGCGAUCUGUGGCAACACACUUCCCAGCUAACCAACAGAGAAUGCAACAAACUAAGGUAAUCCACCAAUGUUAUCAAUAAGCUAAAUUGAAAUGUUAACCGUAACUUAAUUGAAGCACCAACAAUACAUGCUUUAAGAGGCAGUGCCAUCUCCAUUAUCUGACGGCUGCUCAGAUGCAGGUUUUUUCGCUGGACUAGAUUCUGUGGUUGUGUUUAGAUGCACCCUCUUGACUCCUCUUCCAACUACUCCAAGAUGGGUUAUUCCAGCUGCACCAUUUGUGUGGG